ACGACGCGACCUACUUGAAAGAAACGUUAUGGUGUUACUUGGGACCAAUACUUAUUGCAGCGGUGAUCUGCCUGAUUUUUUGUUAUGCGAUUCGUUGGAUUGCAACACCAGCCGUCUGGUUUUCAAUAUUUGUUAUCGUCGCUCUAUUCGCUUGCGUUUCAAUUCUCGGUUUUAUGCACUACAGCACUUCCGUCAAUGAUAAUUAUACUGGACUUGUCAUUGGUAUUAUAUUUAUGAUAAUUACAGCUGUGAUUGUUAGCUACAUUUACUGCCAACGGCAGCAUGUUUUUGUUGCAAUAGCACUGAUCAAAGAAGGAAGCAAAGCGGUGGCAUCGUCCUACUCUACCAUAUUCUUGCCGAUCAUACCAAGUCUUUUCCACUUCGCCUUCUUCGCUCUGUUUGCAAGUGUCUUG
Long non-coding RNA from Bradysia coprophila, 413 nucleotides. NCBI's taxonomy places the organism in Eukaryota, Metazoa, Arthropoda, Insecta, Diptera, Sciaridae. The record is from RefSeq and is a predicted model, not a curated record.